GAUCAUGGCUCAGGAUGAACGCUGGCGGCGUGCUUAACACAUGCAAGUCGAGCGAAGCACUUAAGAAAGAUUCUUCGGAUGAUUUCUUAAGUGACUGAGCGGGCGGACGGGUGAAGGUAACGCGUGGGUAACCUGCCUCAUACAGGGGGAUAACAGUUAGAAAUGACUGCUAAUACCGCAUAAGCGCACAGUGCUGCAUGGCACAGUGUGAAAAACUCCGGUGGU
Molecule: ribosomal RNA, 225 nt
Filed under: uncultured bacterium
Lineage: Bacteria
Description: partial 16S ribosomal RNA
Rfam family: Bacterial small subunit ribosomal RNA
Source: RNAcentral